Non-coding RNA from Drosophila persimilis, 571 nucleotides. The record is from Rfam. Lineage: Eukaryota; Metazoa; Arthropoda; Insecta; Diptera; Drosophilidae.
AUUCUGGUUGAUCCUACCAGUAGUUAUAUGCUUGUCUCAAUGAUUAAGCCAUGCAUGUCUAAGUACACACGAAUUAAAAGUGAAACCGCAAAAGGCUCAUUAUAUCAGUUAUGGUUCCUUAGAUCGUUAACAGUUACUUGGAUAACUGUGGUAAUUCUAGAGCUAAUACAUGCAAUUAAAACACGGACCUUAUGGGACGUGUGCUUUUAUUAGGCUAAAACCAAGCGAUCGCAAGAUCGUUACAUUGGUUUAACUCUAGAUAACAUGCAGAUCGUAUGGUCUUGUACCGACGACAGAUCUUUCAAAUGUCUGCCCUAUCAACUUUUGAUGGUAGUAUCUAGGACUACCAUGGUUGCAACGGGUAACGGGGAAUCAGGGUUCGAUUCCGGAGAGGGAGCCUGAGAAACGGCUACCACAACUAAGGAAGGCAGCAGGCGCGUAAAUUACCCACUCCCAGCUCGGGGAGGUAGUGACGAAAAAUAACAAUACAGGACUCAUAUCCGAGGCCCUGUAAUUGGAAUGAGUACACUUAAAGUCCUUUAACAAGGACCAAUUGGAGGGCAAGUCUGGU